This 723-nucleotide ribosomal RNA is filed under the name Bacillus amyloliquefaciens. RNAcentral's name for it is "bacterial SSU rRNA". It matches the Rfam family "Bacterial small subunit ribosomal RNA", at positions 56 to 762 of the family's 1533-position model. The record is from RNAcentral. Lineage: Bacteria; Bacillati; Bacillota; Bacilli; Caryophanales; Bacillaceae.
UGCAGUCGAGCGGACAGAUGGGAGCUUGCUCCCUGAUGUUAGCGGCGGACGGGUGAGUAACACGUGGGUAACCUGCCUGUAAGACUGGGAUAACUCCGGGAAACCGGGGCUAAUACCGGAUGGUUGUUUGAACCGCAUGGUUCAGACAUAAAAGGUGGCUUCGGCUACCACUUACAGAUGGACCCGCGGCGCAUUAGCUAGUUGGUGAGGUAACGGCUCACCAAGGCGACGAUGCGUAGCCGACCUGAGAGGGUGAUCGGCCACACUGGGACUGAGACACGGCCCAGACUCCUACGGGAGGCAGCAGUAGGGAAUCUUCCGCAAUGGACGAAAGUCUGACGGAGCAACGCCGCGUGAGUGAUGAAGGUUUUCGGAUCGUAAAGCUCUGUUGUUAGGGAAGAACAAGUGCCGUUCAAAUAGGGCGGCACCUUGACGGUACCUAACCAGAAAGCCACGGCUAACUACGUGCCAGCAGCCGCGGUAAUACGUAGGUGGCAAGCGUUGUCCGGAAUUAUUGGGCGUAAAGGGCUCGCAGGCGGUUUCUUAAGUCUGAUGUGAAAGCCCCCGGCUCAACCGGGGAGGGUCAUUGGAAACUGGGGAACUUGAGUGCAGAAGAGGAGAGUGGAAUUCCACGUGUAGCGGUGAAAUGCGUAGAGAUGUGGAGGAACACCAGUGGCGAAAGCGACUCUCUGGUCUGUAACUGACGCUGAGGAGCGAAAGCGU